GCCUCCCCUUCCCCUUUGCCGACACCCCUGUAGCGCCCCCCCUCCUCACGACCCCUCCCCCCAGCACACUUUCUCCUCUCUCCAUUGCUCCCUCCUCCCUCAGAUUCGCUCCAUUGUAGCCUCAAUCAAGAAAGCGGAGCAUCAAAACGGAUUGAGGAGGAAGAGAGGAUCGAGGGGAUAGGCGAGAUUAAUGUUUUCCCCAACCUUCCCUUACGGAUUCUCAUGGAGAACCCCAUGGAACUCGAGAUAUGGCUGAAUCAAUGUGACUGUUCGUGUGGCCUGGCAGAUCUGGUCAGGUGGUGUUGCUAUGAGGAGUCUAUGCAUAGAUACAUUUUCGAUAAAGGCAAGU
This is a long non-coding RNA of Panicum virgatum (switchgrass), 349 nucleotides long. RefSeq lists it as uncharacterized. NCBI's taxonomy places the organism in Eukaryota, Viridiplantae, Streptophyta, Magnoliopsida, Poales, Poaceae. The transcript has 3 exons. The record is from RefSeq and is a predicted model, not a curated record.